UCGGAAUUCCAAUUUGUUGUAGGCUACAUUAUUUAUAUAGCGUCAAUUCCCAAAAGUAUUUUUUCCGAUUUUAAACUCAGAAAUUCAGCCUUCUGAUUACAAAUUGCGCGGAAGGAUUGAAUUACCUCCAAAUCUUAAUUUUUUUUUUUUUCUUGGUUUGUAUUGUAUCAUUUGAAACUAAAUCAGAUUUAUGAAGGACACUUUUUCUGUUGAAAAUAUUGCUAGUUUUUUCUCAGCGACGCAGUUUCCUCUCCUAUCUCCCACGGGUGACCCGUCUGUUAGCUUCGACCACCGCCACGGGAAGCGGGACCCACACCGUAGCUAAACUUUCCACCGUGUUUAAAAUCAUAGUUUUCUUAUGGAUAAUUUUUCGCUGGACCAUAAAACAGUCGUCGCUUAGCUAAGAGGUGAGGUGAUUUGUUGAGCUUUUUAAAAUGAACGCCAUGUUAAAACGGACGUUAGCAAUAGGUAACAAUAGUUAGCAUGGCUAGCAUCAAGCCAACUGGAGGCUAGCUAGCAAAGUAAAUGACGCAGCUGAUUAACAAGCUAACAUUAAUGGAGAAAGCGGACGACGAGUUUAGGCACCAAAAUUCUGCCCAAGCUGAGAGAAGAUCCCAAGCAGAGCUGUGAAGGAUGAAAUUCUCGCUGGUCCAGACCAUUGUUGAUCUGUACCUGCAGAUCAUUCCCGGCUGAAGGAGAAGCUGUUGUGUGAAGAAAACCAACCGCUGGUGGAAGUUGGGUCACCAUAUCAGGAGUGAUUGGGUCUCCAAAGAGCUCUGCUGGUUGCUGCUUGGCCGCUUCGUUGGUCUGGAUGUUGAGGAUGAUGCAGGAGUCAUCGUCUUCCUGCACUUCUGCAGCUUCUUGUUCGAUAAAAAUAAACAGUAACGGGUC
Girardinichthys multiradiatus is the source of this 891-nucleotide long non-coding RNA. RefSeq lists it as uncharacterized. Lineage: Eukaryota; Metazoa; Chordata; Actinopteri; Cyprinodontiformes; Goodeidae. The record is from RefSeq and is a predicted model, not a curated record. The transcript is spliced from 6 exons.